Molecule: ribosomal RNA, 255 nt
Filed under: uncultured bacterium
Lineage: Bacteria
Description: partial 16S ribosomal RNA
Rfam family: Bacterial small subunit ribosomal RNA
Source: RNAcentral
UACAGAGGGUGCGAGCGUUGUCCGGAAUCACUGGGCGUAAAGGGCGCGUAGGUGGUGGCUUAAGCGUGCGGUGAAAAGCUCGGAGCUCAACUCCGAGUCGGCCGUGCGAACUGGGCUCACUGGAGCAUAGUAGAGGCAGGUGGAAUUCCGGGUGUAGCGGUGGAAUGCGUAGAUAUCAGGAGGAACACCUGUGGUGUAGACGGCUUUCUGGACCAUAGCUGACGCUGAGACGCGAAAGCGUGGGGAGCGAACAGG